UUUCCGUAGGUGAACCUGCGGAAGGAUCAUUAGCAAAUUGGUUCGUGGGUGUGGUGGGAGUUUUGGGGUUUGUUUGUUGGGGGUUGAUUGUUGUGUGUUUGUUGGGGGUUGAUUGUUGUGUGUUUGUUGGGGGUUGAUUGUUGUUGUGUGUUUGGCAGCGAUGCACUGAUGCAGUCAUGUGUCAUGUGCUUGGCAGCGAUGCACCGAUGCAGUCAUGUGUCAUGGCAGCGAUGCCCUGAUGCCCUGAUGCCCUGAUGCCCUGAUGCCCUGGUGCACUGAUGCACCGAUGCAGUCAGUUCCUAACAUCCCUCCAUACAUGGCUCUCACUGGACUACAUUAACGCUUGUAGUGUUUGACUGAAUUUAUUUACCAAGUACAAAGACAACUUUUAACAAUGGAUCUCUUGGCUCUU
Molecule: unclassified non-coding RNA, 412 nt
Filed under: plant metagenome
Description: partial contains small subunit ribosomal RNA, internal transcribed spacer 1, and 5.8S ribosomal RNA
Source: RNAcentral